This 492-nucleotide ribosomal RNA is filed under the name uncultured bacterium. Its description in RNAcentral is "partial 16S ribosomal RNA". It matches the Rfam family "Bacterial small subunit ribosomal RNA", at positions 29 to 507 of the family's 1533-position model. The record is from RNAcentral.
AGUGAACGCUGGCGGUAGGCCUAACACAUGCAAGUCGAACGGCAGCACAGUAAGAGCUUGCUCUUACGGGUGGCGAGUGGCGGACGGGUGAGGAAUACAUCGGAAUCUACUUUUUCGUGGGGGAUAACGUAGGGAAACUUACGCUAAUACCGCAUACGACCUACGGGUGAAAGCAGGGGAUCUUCGGACCUUGCGCGAUUGAAUGAGCCGAUGUCGGAUUAGCUAGUUGGCGGGGUAAAGGCCCACCAAGGCGACGAUCCGUAGCUGGUCUGAGAGGAUGGUCAGCGACACUGGAACUGAGACACGGUCCAGACUCCUACGGGAGGCAGCAGUGGGGAAUAGUGGACAAUGGGCGCAAGCCUGAUCCAGCCAUACCGCGUGGGUGAAGAAGGCCUUCGGGUUGUAAAGCCCUUUUGUUGGGAAAGAAAAGCAGCAGGUUAAUACCCCGCUGUUCUGACGGUACCCAAAGAAUAAGCACCGGCUAACUUCGUG